RNAcentral lists this ribosomal RNA (473 nucleotides) under Larinus turbinatus. RNAcentral's name for it is "partial 16S ribosomal RNA". The record is from RNAcentral. Lineage: Eukaryota; Metazoa; Arthropoda; Insecta; Coleoptera; Curculionidae.
CUUUUUGAUAAUADKUUAAGGUCCGGCCUGCCCAAUGAUUUUUAAAUGGCCGCGGUACUUUGACCGUGCAAAGGUAGCAUAAUCAUUAGUUUUUUAAUUGAAAGCUGGAAUGAAAGGUCAGAUGAAAAAAUAACUGUCUCUAUUUAAAUUUAUUAGAAUUUUAUUUUUAAGUUAAAAAGCUUAAAUAUAUAUAAAAGACGAGAAGACCCUAUAGAGUUUUAUAAUUUUAUUAUUUAGAGUUUUUAGUAUUAUAAUAUUUGAAUAAUAAAAUUAUUUAGUUGGGGUGAUUGAAAAAUUAAAUAAACUUUUUUUUUAUUUAAACAUUGAUUUAUGACUGUAUGAUCCUUAUUUAAAGAUUAAAAGAAUAAAUUACCUUAGGGAUAACAGCGUAAUUUUUUUUGAGAGUUCAAAUCGAAAAAAAAGAUUGCGNCCUCGAUGUUGGAUUAAAAUUAAUUUUUGGUGUAGGAGCUAAA